GGCGGACGGGUGAGUAACACGUGAGAAUUUACCUUUAGGAGGGGGAUAACAAUUGGAAACGAUUGCUAAUACCCCAUAUGCUUUUGAGUGAAAUGGGUUUAUAUUUAUCCGCCUAGAGAGAAGCUCGCGGCUGAUUAGCUUGUUGGUAAGGUAAGAGCUUACCAAGGCGACGAUCAGUAUCUGGUUUGAGAGGACGAUCAGACACACUGGAACUGAGACACGGUCCAG
This 228-nucleotide ribosomal RNA is filed under the name uncultured bacterium. RNAcentral describes it as "partial 16S ribosomal RNA". It matches the Rfam family "Bacterial small subunit ribosomal RNA", at positions 97 to 334 of the family's 1533-position model. The record is from RNAcentral.